This 402-nucleotide ribosomal RNA is filed under the name uncultured Mediophyceae. RNAcentral describes it as "partial small subunit ribosomal RNA". It matches the Rfam family "Eukaryotic small subunit ribosomal RNA", at positions 30 to 432 of the family's 1831-position model. Lineage: Eukaryota; Bacillariophyta; Thalassiosirophyceae. The record is from RNAcentral.
GCUUGUCUCAAAGAUUAAGCCAUGCAUGUCUAAGUAUAACUCUUUUACUUUGAAAACUGCGAACGGCUCAUUAUAUCAGUUAUAGUUUCUUUGAUAGUCCCUUACUACUUGGAUACCCGUAGUAAUUCUAGAGCUAAUACAUGCAUCAAUACCCAACUGUUCGCGGAAGGGUAGUAUUUAUUAGGUAUAGACCAACCCUCUUCGGAGGUGCUUUGGUGAUUCAUAAUAACUUUUCGAAUCGCAUGGCUCCAUGCCGGCGAUGGAUCAUUCAAAUUUCUGCCCUAUCAAUUGGCGAUGGUAGGAUAGAGGCCUACCAUGGUGUUAACGGGUGACGGGGGAUUAGGGUUCGAUUCCGGAGAGGCAGCCUGAGAAACGGCUACCACAUCCAAGGAAGGCAGCAGG